UGGUUCCGUGUGGCUCUUUUCUCUCUCCUGCCUGUCAAAAAGUUGCUAUUCCUGUGAUUAAAACCAUUACAGUCCUUCAAAAGUUAUACAUGACUUUCAGGCUUCAGCCUCAAUAGAAGCAGAGCUACAAACUAAAAAUUGUCUACAAACAAAAACUGAGGACUACAUCACUCUAAUUUCACAUCUGCAUCGGGAUGAAGGACCAGAUAAGGCAGGCAGACAGUCACUGAGGAGGAGGUCUGAGGAAGAGCACCCCUUUCUGACACUGUAGAUAGAGCUGAAUCUGGAAGAAUGAACCUGUAAAAAAUGACAUCAUAUUGCUCAAGCCUUCUUUCAUGAGUGACUUUAGAUGAAUAUACAAUCGCAACAAAUCUCGACAAUUUGUUACCUUUUGUGAUAUGUCAUUGACCAAGUUACUUAUAACUGAAAACAGCUUAAUGAUUUUAACAGCAUAAUAGAUUAUGCAACACACAAACUUAAGAAUGAAUAUAUUAUUAGUGAAAUGGUUAUCAUGCACAACAAAUUUACAUUGCAACAACUACAGAAGGCAUAAAUAUAUGAAAUCAAGAGAACUUCAAAAUUUUGCAUUCUAAAUAGUGCUAAGAAGGAUUUUACAUAAUUUUUUAAGAGAAAAGUAUAAGAUGUGUUUGUUUGUUUUCAUUUUUUGAGACAUAAAGUCUCACUGAAUAGGUCAGGGGAUCUGUGGGCUCACUAUGUAGCCAAGCUGGCCUCAAACUCAUGGCAAUGCUCCUGUCUUAGCGUCAUGAGUGCUGACAUUACA
Long non-coding RNA from Chinchilla lanigera (long-tailed chinchilla), 781 nucleotides. RefSeq lists it as uncharacterized. The transcript is spliced from 3 exons. The record is from RefSeq and is a predicted model, not a curated record. Lineage: Eukaryota; Metazoa; Chordata; Mammalia; Rodentia; Chinchillidae.